CCUACGGGAGGCAGCAGUGGGGAAUCUUUCACAAUGGGGGAAACCCUGAUGCAGCGACGCCGCGUGCGUGAAGAAGUCUUUCGGUAUGUACAGCUCUAUCAGCAGGGAAGACAAUGACGGUACCUGACUAAGAAGCCUCGGCUAACUACGUGCCAGCAGCCGCGGUCAUACGUAGGGCGCAAGCGUUAUCCGGAUUUACUGGGUGUAAAGGGAGCGUAGGUGGAAUGGUAAGCUAGAAGUGAAAACCCGGGGCUCAACCCCGCGGAUUACUUUCGGAAAUAUCAGGCUGGAGAGCUGGAGGGGUAAGCGGAAUGCCUAGUGUAGCGGUGAAAUGCGUAGAUAUUAGGAAGAACACCGGUAGCGAAGGCAGCUUACUGGACAGAAACUGACACUGAGGCUCGAAAGCGUAGGGAGCAAACAGGAUUAGAUACCCGGGUAGUC
Molecule: ribosomal RNA, 441 nt
Filed under: uncultured bacterium
Lineage: Bacteria
Description: partial 16S ribosomal RNA
Rfam family: Bacterial small subunit ribosomal RNA
Source: RNAcentral